AAUAUUCGACAAUGGGGGAAACCCUGAUCGAGCAAUGCCGCGUGAGUGAUGAAGGUCUUACGACUGUAAAACCCUGUUAUAGAGGAAGAACAACCAUUAUAGGUAAUGAUGAUGGUCUGACGGUACUCUAUCAGAAAGCCCCGGCUAACUACGUGCCAGCAGCCGCGGUAAUACGUAGGGGGCGAGCGUUAUCCGGAUUUAUUGGGCGUAAAGCGUGUGUAGGCGGUUUAUUAAGUUUAAGAUCAAAGCCCGGGGCUUAACUCCGGUUCGUCUUAGAAACUGGUAGACUUGAGUGUAGUAGAGGCAAGUGGAAUUUCUAGUGUAGCGGUUAAAUGCGUAGAUAUUAGAAGGAACACCAGUGGCGAAGGCGACUUGCUGGGCUAUUACUGACACUGAGGUGCGAAAGCGUGGGGAGCAAACAGG
Molecule: ribosomal RNA, 423 nt
Filed under: uncultured bacterium
Lineage: Bacteria
Description: partial 16S ribosomal RNA
Rfam family: Bacterial small subunit ribosomal RNA
Source: RNAcentral